This 361-nucleotide ribosomal RNA is filed under the name uncultured eukaryote. RNAcentral describes it as "SSU rRNA". It matches the Rfam family "Eukaryotic small subunit ribosomal RNA", at positions 587 to 972 of the family's 1831-position model. The record is from RNAcentral.
AGCUCCAAAAGUGUAUCUUAACGUUGUUGCAGUUAAAAAGCUCGUAGUUGAACCUCUGGCGUCCCCGCAGCCUCUUCUGAGUGCUAUACGGGGGCGUCAUCCGCUUGGGAAGGCGUUCUGUGGGAAACCUCGUUCGUCGGAACAGGCAUUUUACUUUGAAGAAAUUAGAGUGUUUAAGGCAGGCAAUUGCUUGAAUAUAUCAGCAUGGAAUAAUGGAAGAGGAUUUGUCCUUUCAUUGGUUACUGGGCAUUUAAUGAUUAACAGGGACAGUUGGGGGCAUUCGUAUUCAUUUGUCAGAGGUGAAAUUCUUGGAUUAGAUGAAGACGAACUAAUGCGAAAGCAUUUGCCAAGGAUGUUUUCA